Molecule: ribosomal RNA, 391 nt
Filed under: uncultured bacterium
Lineage: Bacteria
Description: bacterial SSU rRNA
Rfam family: Bacterial small subunit ribosomal RNA
Source: RNAcentral
AGUGAACGCUGGCGGCAGGCCUAGCACAUGCAAGUCGAACGGCAGCACAGAGGAGCUUGCUCCUUGGGUGGCGAGUGGCGGACGGGUGAGGAAUACAUCGGAAUCUGCCUUAUCGUGGGGGAUAACGUAGGGAAACUUACGCUAAUACCGCAUACGACCUACGGGUGAAAGCGGAGGACCUUCGGGCUUCGCGCGAUAAGAUGAGCCGAUGUCGGAUUAGCUAGNGGCGGGGUAAAGGCCCACCAAGGCGACGAUCCGUAGCUGGUCUGAGAGGAUGAUCAGCCACACUGGAACUGAGACACGGUCCAGACUCCUACGGGAGGCAGCAGUGGGGAAUAUUGGACAAUGGGCGCAAGCCUGAUCCAGCCAUGCCGCGUGUGUGAAGAAGGCC